Molecule: ribosomal RNA, 431 nt
Filed under: uncultured bacterium
Lineage: Bacteria
Description: partial 16S ribosomal RNA
Rfam family: Bacterial small subunit ribosomal RNA
Source: RNAcentral
AGCGAACGCUGGCGGCAGGCCUAACACAUGCAAGUCGAACGCCCCUUCGGGGGAGUGGCGGACGGGUGAGUAACGCGUGGGAAUGUGCCCUUUGGUACGGAACAACUGAGGGAAACUUCAGCUAAUACCGUAUGUGCCCUACGGGGGAAAGAUUUAUCGCCAUUGGAGCAGCCCGCGUUGGAUUAGGUAGUUGGUGGGGUAGUGGCCCACCAAGCCGACGAUCCAUAGCUGGUCUGAGAGGAUGAUCAGCCACACUGGGACUGAGACACGGCCCAGACUCCUACGGGAGGCAGCAGUGGGGAAUCUUGCGCAAUGGGCGAAAGCCUGACGCAGCCAUGCCGCGUGAAUGAUGAAGGUCUUAGGAUUGUAAAAUUCUUUCACCGGGGAAGAUAAUGACGGUACCCGGAGAAGAAGCCCCGGCUAACUUCGUG